CGGAGGGUGCGAGCGUUGUCCGGAAUCACUGGGCGUAAAGGGCGCGUAGGUGGCUUGGCAAGCGUGUGGUGAAAGCCCGGGGCUUAACCCCGGGUCUGCCGUGCGAACUACCAUGGCUAGAGUACUGUAGAGGCAGGUUGAAUUCCGGGUGUAGCGGUGGAAUGCGUAGAGAUCCGGAAGAAUACCGGUGGCGAAGGCGGCCUGCUGGGCAGUUACUGACACUGAGGCGCGACAGCGUGGGGAGCAAACAGGAUUAGAUACCCUGGUAGUCCACGCCGUAAACGAUGGGCACUAGAUGCUUGGGGGAGCGACCCUCUGAGUGUCGUCGCUAACGCAGUAAGUGCCCCGCCUGGGGAGUACGGCCGCAAGGCUG
RNAcentral lists this ribosomal RNA (373 nucleotides) under uncultured organism. Its description in RNAcentral is "bacterial SSU rRNA". It matches the Rfam family "Bacterial small subunit ribosomal RNA", at positions 526 to 896 of the family's 1533-position model. The record is from RNAcentral.